AAUACAUUUUAAUUACUCGAAGAUAAAAGGGAGCCUCAGAUAUAAUUUGCUACUCGUUCUCUUUACAGAAGACGAAAUGUUAAGAAAGGAGUUCAGGAGGAAAUGCUUGCGAGGGAAUUUAUAACCACUUCUUUGCUUCUGGGAAUGCCUGAUGCCGACGGGUUUGAACUGGAGGCUUCCUUGUUUGUUCAUUGGAAAGGUGUUUACCCAAGAGAAAUAAAUGUCCCCGUUUAAAGACUAGUCCACAAAUGUGCACAGUAGUAUUUGUUACAUACGAAGGCUGGAAAAAACCCAGAUGUUCAUCACAAGGUCUCUCUCGUCAGAGUUUCUGUUGACUGUGCUGUCCAUGACCAGGAAAAGUCUUGUCCUGCAUUUGCUCACUUCAGGUACCAAAACUGGGGGUCAUGCAUGCAUCAUGUUUUCUAUAGAAGGUAGGUUUCUUAACUUCCAAAAGAAAUGGAAUUCACUCUACAUCAUUAAAGUAGAUGAUAUGUUAAUUAAAGGUAAUUAAGUUAUAUGCAGAAUUGUGAGAAUGGCUAAGGAAAUAUAUUCAAAGGUAAGAUGGCAGGGA
RNAcentral lists this long non-coding RNA (571 nucleotides) under Callithrix jacchus (white-tufted-ear marmoset). RNAcentral's name for it is "lncRNA (ENSCJAG00000054150.2)". The record is from RNAcentral. Lineage: Eukaryota; Metazoa; Chordata; Mammalia; Primates; Cebidae.